GACGAUCGCUGGCGGCGUGCUUAACACAUGCAAGUCGAACGAAGUGGCGAACGGGUGAGUAACGCGUAAUCAACCUGCCCUUCCGAGGGGGACAACAGUUGGAAACGACUGCUAAUACCGCAUACUGGAGGAGGGGCUUGCCGCUGAUUAGCUAGUUGGAGGGGUACCGGCCCACCAAGGCGAUGAUCAGUAGCCGGUCUGAGAGAAUGAACGGCCACAUUGGGACUGAGACACGGCCCAGACUCCUACGGGAGGCAGCAGUGGGGAAUCUUCCGCAAUGGACGAAAGUCUGACGAAGCAACGCCGCGUGAGUGAUGACGGCCUUCGGGUUGUAAAGCUCUGUUAAUCGGGACGCGGUACCGGAAUAGAAAGCCACGGCUAACUACGUGCCAGCAGCCGCGGUAAUAC
Molecule: ribosomal RNA, 408 nt
Filed under: uncultured bacterium
Lineage: Bacteria
Description: partial 16S ribosomal RNA
Rfam family: Bacterial small subunit ribosomal RNA
Source: RNAcentral